GAACGCUGGCGGCAGGCUUAACACAUGCAAGUCGAGCGCCCCGCAAGGGGAGCGGCAGACGGGUGAGUAACGGGCGUGGGAAUCUACCUUUUGCUACGGAAUAACGCAGGGAAACUUGUGCUAAUACCGUAUGUGUCCUUCGGGAGAAAGAUUUAUCGGCAAGAGAUGAGCCCGCGUUGGAUUAGCUAGUUGGUGGGGUAAAGGCCUACCAAGGCGACGAUCCAUAGCUGGUCUGAGAGGAUGAUCAGCCACAUUGGGACUGAGACACGGCCCAAACUCCUACGGGAGGCAGCAGUGGGGAAUAUUGGACAAUGGGCGCAAGCCUGAUCCAGCCAUGCCGCGUGAGUGAUGAAGGCCCUAGGGUUGUAAAGCUCUUUCACCGGAGAAGAUAAUGACGGUAUCCGGAGAAGAAGCCCCGGCUAACUUCGUGCCAGCCGCCGCGGUAA
This 446-nucleotide ribosomal RNA is filed under the name uncultured Hyphomicrobiales bacterium. RNAcentral describes it as "bacterial SSU rRNA". It matches the Rfam family "Bacterial small subunit ribosomal RNA", at positions 31 to 523 of the family's 1533-position model. The record is from RNAcentral. Lineage: Bacteria; Pseudomonadati; Pseudomonadota; Alphaproteobacteria; Hyphomicrobiales.